AGGGGUCUUGGCGAACGAAAAAGGGGGAAGCGGUGGGCGGUGCAGGAAGAGAUCCAUGGCGUCGAAGGUGUCGCUCAAGGGGAAGAGGAAGGCCGGGAAGGGCUCCAAGGGGCCGGAGGAGCGGUCGGCGUGCAAGUGCUUCAAGGAGUGGAGCACCUGGGCGAUGAAGAAGGCCAAGGUGAUCACUCACUAUGGCUUUAUUCCCCUCAUCAUCACCAUCGGCAUGAACUCCGAGCCCAAGCCCCAGCUCUACCAGCUGCUCAGUCCCGUCUGAUGCCUUCCCUCCACCAUCGGCAAGCUUUUAGGAGAUUUGGAUUGCCGACGACAGAUUUCCAUUAGAAUCUUUACCGAUAGAUGACAACAUGUAUGCAAGCAAGAGACUCUUACUGCUUCCUAGCACUAGCAUUUCCCAGUGGGCGGGCACUCAACCUUCUUCUUGACUCCUCAUUCAAAAGCUCCUCAAUUCCACCGGACCAUGUGCGUCCAUCAGGGGAAACGGAAGACGCAGAGCCGGUAAAAGGAAGCCAGUCUGACAUCGAUAUGGCACAAGCAGCAGCAGAGGCAGAGGUGGACGUGGUGGUGCCGAAGACUUGGGCUCCGGAAUCUCCGGCAUUCAUGGAAAUCAGUGAAGGCGACAUCCACUCCCUACUGCUUUGGCCAUCUCAGGUCUCGUCAUCACCGAGAAGUGGGAAACUGGAGGCCGAAGCUACUUCAAAAGCAGCGUGGCAAUGCUUCUUGGCCUCUCCCUGUGCUUUGACUGGCGACAGCGGGUUGACUUUUAUUUGGAACUUGGCCCAGGCCCAGGCCCAGGCCCAACCUUUGUUCUGUGAUCUUCUCAGCACGUGUCUGGCCAUCCAUGUUUUCGGAAUCCAAAUCGGGAAGUGAUGUCUUAGGUGGUAAAUAAGUUCAUUAAUUAAGUAUAUUAGCUCUC
RNA transcript from Musa acuminata AAA Group (dessert banana), 931 nucleotides. It is a transcript of the gene named mitochondrial import receptor subunit TOM7-1, with no coding region annotated. The transcript has 3 exons. NCBI's taxonomy places the organism in Eukaryota, Viridiplantae, Streptophyta, Magnoliopsida, Zingiberales, Musaceae. The record is from RefSeq and is a predicted model, not a curated record.